Molecule: long non-coding RNA, 191 nt
Organism: Sitophilus oryzae (rice weevil)
Lineage: Eukaryota; Metazoa; Arthropoda; Insecta; Coleoptera; Curculionidae
Exons: 3
Source: RefSeq, a predicted model, not a curated record
AUUAUUUUGUUGUUUUUAAUUUUUAACGUCGGAAUCAGAAAGGAUGCUUACCUAAGAUUACAAAUGUUUAUCUAAAAUUAGAUGUGUUACAUCUGUAUGGGGUAACUGGAUGAGUUGGUUUUUAAAAGUUGUUAUAAAUAUUAUAGAACAAGUUCAAGUAAAGAAGGUCAUGAAGGUUGUUUUAACUGUCA